Cornus florida is the source of this 364-nucleotide long non-coding RNA. RefSeq lists it as uncharacterized. The record is from RefSeq and is a predicted model, not a curated record. The transcript has 2 exons. NCBI's taxonomy places the organism in Eukaryota, Viridiplantae, Streptophyta, Magnoliopsida, Cornales, Cornaceae.
UUUUGGCUCCGUAAAAGUUGUGCUUUGCAUUUAUAGGAAAUUGCUAUCAUCAUGUAACAAGCAGAUGGUUAGCAGUGAUGCUGGUAAUGCUAGUGACCACAUGCCUAACUUCCUUAGUGAUCAUCCUUUGUUGGCACAAUGAAUGAAGAUGGUUGGGCAAGCUUAGCGGGCGACUUCUUUUUGCAAUCUUUUGUUAGUACUUGGUUUUCUUUUUUUUAACAAUGAUGGAGACUUUGUACUCUAAAUUAUUCAAUGAAUGUUUUGGAUUAAUUUUUGGUGAUUGUUCUUUUUUUAACAAUGAUGGAAACUUUGUACUUCAAAUUAUUUAAUAAAUGUUUGGGAUUAAUUUUAGGUGAUUGUUAUA